Molecule: ribosomal RNA, 426 nt
Filed under: Zhangixalus burmanus (Patsarlamdam flying frog)
Lineage: Eukaryota; Metazoa; Chordata; Amphibia; Anura; Rhacophoridae
Description: 12S ribosomal RNA
Rfam family: Bacterial small subunit ribosomal RNA
Source: RNAcentral
CCAAAGGACUUGACGGUAUCCCACCCAACUAGAGGAGCCUGUUCUAUAAUCGAUGAUCCACGAUAUACCAAACCAUUUCUCGCCAUUCAGCCUGUAUACCUCCGUCGAAAGCUUACCGUAUGAACGCACACCAGUAGGCCAAAGGACUUUAACGUCACAACGUCAGGUCAAGGUGCAGCUAAUGAGAUGGAAGCAAUGGGCUACAAUUUCUAAAUUAGAACAAACGAAACACUACAUGAAACAUAGUCAUGAAGGCGGAUUUAGCAGUAAGUAGGAAAUAGAGAGUCCUACUAAACAUGGCCCUGGGAUGUGUACAAACCGCCCGUCACCCUCUUCGAUAGUUUUUAAUAUAGUUUAUAACACACUAAUACGCCUUAGAAGAGGCAAGUCGUAACAUGGUAAGUAUACUGGAAAGUGUACUUGGAA